RNAcentral lists this ribosomal RNA (493 nucleotides) under uncultured bacterium. Its description in RNAcentral is "bacterial SSU rRNA". It matches the Rfam family "Bacterial small subunit ribosomal RNA", at positions 903 to 1397 of the family's 1533-position model. The record is from RNAcentral.
AAAUGAAUAGACGGGGGCCCGCACAAGCAGUGGAGUAUGUGGUUUAAUUCGAAGCAACGCGAAGAACCUUACCAGGGCUUGACAUGCAGGUGAAUGCAUAAGAAAAGAUGCAGACCUUAGGGACACCUGUGCAGGUGGUGCAUGGUUGUCGUCAGCUCGUGUCGUGAGAUGUUUGGUUAAGUCCAUAAACGAGCGCAACCCCUAUCGUUAGUUGCCAGCACGUAAAGGUGGGAACUCUAACGAGACUGCCGUGGAGAACACGGAGGAAGGUGGGGAUGAUGUCAAAUCAUCAUGCCCUAUAUGCCCUGGGCUACACACGUACUACAAUGGCCGUAACAGAGAGAAGCAAGAGAGCGAUCUUAAGCGAAACUAAAAAAGCGGUCUCAGUUCGGAUUGGAGGCUGAAAUUCGCCUCCAUGAAGCCGGAAUUGCUAGUAAUUGCAGGUCAGCAUACUGCAGUGAAUACGUUCCCGGGCCUUGUACACACCGCCCGU